AUUGAACGCUGGCGGCAGGCCUAACACAUGCAAGUCGAGCGGAUGAAGGGAGCUUGCUCCUGGAUUCAGCGGCGGACGGGUGAGUAAUGCCUAGGAAUCUGCCUGGUAGUGGGGGAUAACGUCCGGAAACGGGCGCUAAUACCGCAUACGUCCUGAGGGAGAAAGUGGGGGAUCUUCGGACCUCACGCUAUCAGAUGAGCCUAGGUCGGAUUAGCUAGUUGGUGGGGUAAAGGCCUACCAAGGCGACGAUCCGUAACUGGUCUGAGAGGAUGAUCAGUCACACUGGAACUGAGACAUGGUCCAGACUCCUACGGGAGGCAGCAGUGGGGAAUAUUGGACAAUGGGCGAAAGCCUGAUCCAGCCAUGCCGCGUGUGUGAAGAAGGUCUUCGGAUUGUAAAGCACUUUAAGUUGGGAGGAAGGGCAGUAAGUUAAUACCUUGCUGUCUUGACGUUACCAACAGAAUAAGCACCGGCUAACUUCGUG
RNAcentral lists this ribosomal RNA (484 nucleotides) under uncultured bacterium. RNAcentral describes it as "partial 16S ribosomal RNA". It matches the Rfam family "Bacterial small subunit ribosomal RNA", at positions 30 to 507 of the family's 1533-position model. The record is from RNAcentral.